RNAcentral lists this ribosomal RNA (2031 nucleotides) under human gut metagenome. RNAcentral describes it as "bacterial LSU rRNA". It matches the Rfam family "Bacterial large subunit ribosomal RNA", at positions 1020 to 2925 of the family's 2925-position model. The record is from RNAcentral.
AGACAGCCCAGACCGUCGUCUAAGGUCCCGAAGCGUGUGCUAAGUGGGAAAGGAUGUGGAGUCGCAUAGACAGCCAGGAGGUUGGCUCAGAAGCAGCCAUCCUUGAAAGAGUGCGUAACAGCUCACUGGUCUAGUGGUUCCGCGCCGACAAUGUAGCGGGGCUCAAGCACACCACCGAAGACGCGGCAGCAAUCUUCAUGGUUGCUGGGUAGGAGAGCGUCCUGCAUGGGGCGAAGCGGCCGGGUAACCGUGCCGUGGACCGUGUGGGAGUGAGAAUGCAGACAUGAGUAGCGAGAGACGGGUGAGGAUCCCGUCCGCUGGAUGACCAAGGGUUCCGGGGCCACGUUCGUCGUCCCCGGGUGAGUCGGGUCCUAAGGCGAGGCCGACAGGCGUAGUCGAAUGGAUGAACGGGUGGAUAUUCCCGUACCGACCAUGGACCGGCAAAACCGAGACGGUGAGUACUAACCUCCGCCUCGUGGUGGUUCCUUCCUUCGGGUUGGUAUCGCCGCGUGGUGUUGGGAGCGUAGCCGCAGUAGGUCAGCGCAGGGGUGACACGGAAUGGGAGCCGGCCGCGGAGGUGGUUUUCCGUGGUCAAGCACGCAGCCAGUCAUGUAGGCAAAUCCGCAUGGCGCGCAUGGCGAGGUGUGAUGAUGGGAGCCGUUAUGGUUCGAUAUCCGGUUGUCCAGGCCGUCGAGAAAAGCCUCGGCGUGAGGGCCAUGGCCGCCCGUACCCCAAACCGACACUGGUGGUCAGGUAGAGAAUACCAAGGCGAUCGAGCGAAUCCUGGUCAAGGAACUCGGCAAAUCACUCCCGUGCCUUCGGUAUAAGGGAGACCCGCUGGGGUGAACCGGCUAGCCCGGGGAGCUUUGGUGGGUGGCACAGACCAGGGGGUAGCGACUGUUUACCAAAAACACAGGUGCAUGCGAAGGCGAAAGCCGCUGUAUAUGCACUGACGCCUGCCCGGUGCCGGAAGGUUAAGAGGAUCCGUCAAUCCCUUCGGGGACGAAGCGGUGAAUUCAAGCCCCGGUAAACGGCGGUGGUAACUAUAACCAUCCUAAGGUAGCGAAAUUCCUUGUCGGGUAAGUUCCGACCUGCACGAAUGGCGUAACGACUUCCCCACUGUCUCGACCAGGAGCUCGGCGAAAUUGCAGUACGAGUAAAGAUGCUCGUUAAGCGCAGAAGGACGAAAAGACCCCGGGACCUUUACUAUACCUUGGUAUUGGCGUUAGGCGCGGAUUGUGUAGCAUAGGCGGGAGGCUUCGAAGCGUGGGCGCCAGCUCAUGUGGAGCCGCAAGGUGAAAUACCGCUCUGUUCUCGUUUGACGUCUAACCUCGACAAGUCAUCCUUGUCAGGGACAGUGCCUGGCGGGUAGUUCAACUGGGGCGGUUGCCUCCCAAAGAGUAACGGAGGCGCUCAAAGGUCCGCUCAGCCCGGUUGGCAAUCGGGUGUCGAGUGUAAUCGCACAAGCGGGCUUGACUGCGAGGACGACGGUCCGAGCAGGGACGAAAGUCGGAGAUAGUGAUCCGGUGCCGGCGCACGGGCGCGGCAUCGCUCAACGGAUAAAAGGUACUCCGGGGAUAACAGGCUGAUCAUUCCCAAGAGUCCAUAUCGACGGGAUGGUUUGGCACCUCGAUGUCGGCUCGUCGCAUCCUGGGGCUGGAGCAGGUCCCAAGGGUUCGGCUGUUCGCCGAUUAAAGCGGCACGCGAGCUGGGUUCAGAACGUCGUGAGACAGUUUGGUCUCUAUCCUCUGCGCUCGUUGGAAUCCUGAGGAGGCCUGCCCAUAGUACGAGAGGACCUGGGUGGACGAACCUCUGGUAUGCCGGUUGUCGCGCCAGCGGCACGGCCGGUUGGCUACGUUCGGGAGGGAUAACCGCUGAAAGCAUCUAAGCGGGAAGCCUGCUCCAAGAUUAGGAUUCCAUGGAUCUUCGAGAUCCUGUAGCCCGCAUGUUGAACACGUGUUUGAUAGGCCGGAGGUGGAAGUCCCGUGAGGGGUGGAGCCGACCGGUACUAACGGGCGAUGGCGACACAAC